GACGAACGCUGGCGGCGUGCUUAACACAUGCAAGUCGAACGAAGUGGCGAACGGGUGUGUAACGCGUAAUCAACCUGCCCUUCAGAGGGGGACAACAGUUGGCAACGACUGCUAAUACCGCAUACUGUAGGAGGGGAUUGCGUCUGAUUAGCUAGUUGGAGGGGUAACGGCCCACCAAGGCGAUGAUCAGUAGCCGGGCUGAGGGGAUGAACGGCCCAAAUGGGACGGAGAAACGGCCCAGACUCCUACGGGAGGCAGCAGUGGGGAAUCUUCCGCCAUGGAGGAAAGUCUGACGGAGCAAAGCCGCGUGAGUGAUAACGGCCUUCGGGUUGUAAAGCUCUGUUAAUCGGGACGCGGUACCGGAAUAGAAAGCCACGGCUAACUACGUGCCAGCCGCCGCGGUAAUAC
RNAcentral lists this ribosomal RNA (408 nucleotides) under uncultured bacterium. Its description in RNAcentral is "partial 16S ribosomal RNA". It matches the Rfam family "Bacterial small subunit ribosomal RNA", at positions 28 to 526 of the family's 1533-position model. The record is from RNAcentral.